This 1011-nucleotide ribosomal RNA is filed under the name Escherichia coli. RNAcentral describes it as "partial 23S ribosomal RNA". It matches the Rfam family "Bacterial large subunit ribosomal RNA", at positions 1920 to 2925 of the family's 2925-position model. The record is from RNAcentral. Lineage: Bacteria; Pseudomonadati; Pseudomonadota; Gammaproteobacteria; Enterobacterales; Enterobacteriaceae.
CCGGUAAACGGCGGCCGUAACUAUAACGGUCCUAAGGUAGCGAAAUUCCUUGUCGGGUAAGUUCCGACCUGCACGAAUGGCGUAAUGAUGGCCAGGCUGUCUCCACCCGAGACUCAGUGAAAUUGAACUCGCUGUGAAGAUGCAGUGUACCCGCGGCAAGACGGAAAGACCCCGUGAACCUUUACUAUAGCUUGACACUGAACAUUGAGCCUUGAUGUGUAGGAUAGGUGGGAGGCUUUGAAGUGUGGACGCCAGUCUGCAUGGAGCCGACCUUGAAAUACCACCCUUUAAUGUUUGAUGUUCUAACGUUGACCCGUAAUCCGGGUUGCGGACAGUGUCUGGUGGGUAGUUUGACUGGGGCGGUCUCCUCCUAAAGAGUAACGGAGGAGCACGAAGGUUGGCUAAUCCUGGUCGGACAUCAGGAGGUUAGUGCAAUGGCAUAAGCCAGCUUGACUGCGAGCGUGACGGCGCGAGCAGGUGCGAAAGCAGGUCAUAGUGAUCCGGUGGUUCUGAAUGGAAGGGCCAUCGCUCAACGGAUAAAAGGUACUCCGGGGAUAACAGGCUGAUACCGCCCAAGAGUUCAUAUCGACGGCGGUGUUUGGCACCUCGAUGUCGGCUCAUCACAUCCUGGGGCUGAAGUAGGUCCCAAGGGUAUGGCUGUUCGCCAUUUAAAGUGGUACGCGAGCUGGGUUUAGAACGUCGUGAGACAGUUCGGUCCCUAUCUGCCGUGGGCGCUGGAGAACUGAGGGGGGCUGCUCCUAGUACGAGAGGACCGGAGUGGACGCAUCACUGGUGUUCGGGUUGUCAUGCCAAUGGCACUGCCCGGUAGCUAAAUGCGGAAGAGAUAAGUGCUGAAAGCAUCUAAGCACGAAACUUGCCCCGAGAUGAGUUCUCCCUGACCCUUUAAGGGUCCUGAAGGAACGUUGAAGACGACGACGUUGAUAGGCCGGGUGUGUAAGCGCAGCGAUGCGUUGAGCUAACCGGUACUAAUGAACCGUGAGGCUUAACCUU